Molecule: ribosomal RNA, 449 nt
Filed under: uncultured bacterium
Lineage: Bacteria
Description: bacterial SSU rRNA
Rfam family: Bacterial small subunit ribosomal RNA
Source: RNAcentral
CUCUGUGACUCCUACGGGAGGCAGCAGUGGGAAUAUUGCACAAUGGGGGAAACCCUGAUGCAGCAACGCCGUGUGAGUGAAGAAGGUUUUCGGAUCGUAAAACUCUGUCCUAAGGGAAGAAACAAAUGACGGUACCUUAGGAGGAAGCCCCGGCUAACUACGUGCCAGCAGCCGCGGUAAUACGUAGGGGGCAAGCGUUAUCCGGAAUCACUGGGCGUAAAGGGUGCGUAGGCGGCUUAGCAAGCCAGGGGUGAAAGGCAUUGGCUCAACCAAUGUAAGCCUUUGGAACUGUUAAGCUUGAGUGCAGGAGAGGUAAGUGGAAUUCCUAGUGUAGAGGUGAAAUUCGUAGAUAUUAGGAGGAACACCAGUGGCGAAGGCGACUUACUGGACUGUAACUGACGCUGAUGCACGAAAGCGUGGGUAGCGAACAGGAUUAGAUACCCUGGUAG